This 550-nucleotide ribosomal RNA is filed under the name uncultured Chlorophyta. RNAcentral describes it as "SSU rRNA". It matches the Rfam family "Eukaryotic small subunit ribosomal RNA", at positions 595 to 1154 of the family's 1831-position model. Lineage: Eukaryota; Viridiplantae; Chlorophyta. The record is from RNAcentral.
UAGCGUAUAUUUAAGUUGUUGCAGUUAAAAAGCUCGUAGUUGGAUUUCGGUUGAGUAGCGGCCGGUCCGCCGUUUGGUGUGCACUGGCUGGUUUCAGCUUCCUGCAGAGGACGCGCUCUGGGCUUAAUCGUCUGGACGUGGAGUCUGCGUGGUUACUUUGAAAAAAUUAGAGUGUUCAAAGCGGGCUUACGCUUGAAUAUUUCAGCAUGGAAUAACACUAUAGGACUCCUGUCCUAUUUCGUUGGUCUCGGGACGGGAGUAAUGAUUAAGAGGAACAGUUGGGGGCAUUCGUAUUUCAAUGUCAGAGGUGAAAUUCUUGGAUUUUUGAAAGACGAACUUCUGCGAAAGCAUUUGCCAAGGAUGUUUUCAUUAAUCAAGAACGAAAGUUGGGGGCUCGAAGAUGAUUAGAUACCAUCCUAGUCUCAACCAUAAACGAUGCCGACUAGGGAUUGGCGGAUGUUAAUUGAUGACUCCGCCAGCACCUUAUGAGAAAUCAAAGUUUUUGGGUUCCGGGGGGAGUAUGGUCGCAAGGCCGAAACUUAAAGGAAUU